CGCCUAACAGCUAGCCCCUCAAACUACUUUCACCACACAUACACAAUUACCCCCUAAGACCCUAAAUUGAAGACAACAAACCAUUUUUCCCCUUUAGUAUGGGAGACAGAAAAAGAACCUCGGAGCAAUAGAAAAAGUACCGCAAGGGAACGCUGAAAGAGAAAUGAAACAAACCAGUAAAGCCUAAAAAAGCAGAGACUUUCCCUCGUACCUUUUGCAUCAUGAAUUAGCCAGAAACCUUUAAGCAAAAUGAAUUUUAGUUUAACUCCCCGAAACUAAGUGAGCUACUCCAAGACAGCCUAACACAAAGGGCGCACCCGUCUCUGUGGCAAAAGAGUGGGAAGAGCUUCGAGUAGUGGUGAUAAGCCUACCGAACUUAGUUAUAGCUGGUUGCCUGAGAAAUGAAUAGAAGUUCAGCCUCUUUUCUUCUCCCCUCACUAUUGGCCCAGCCUAUAGUCCAGAGCAAAAGAAGUUAAGAGAGUUAGUCAAAGGAGGGACAGCUCCUUUGAAAAAGAUACAACUUUAGUAGGUGGGUAAGGAUCAAAUUAAUUAAGGCUAAAUGUCCCGGUGGGCCUAAAAGCAGCCACCCCAAAAGAAAGCGUUAUAGCUCAAACAUUAACCCAGCCAUCAAUCCUGAUAUAACCUUCCAACCCCCCUUAGCCUACCAGGCCUUCCUAUAUUUUAUAGGAGCGAUAAUGCUAGUAUGAGUAAUAAGAGACACGACUCUCUCCAAGCACAAGUGUAAAUCAGAACGAACCCCCACUGAAAAUUAACGGCCCCAAACAAAGAGGGAACUGGACCAAAAAAGAGACCACUAGAAAACCUUCCAACACUAACCGUUACCCCCACACUGGAGUGCCCCCGGAAAGACUAAAAGGAGAAGAAGGAACUCGGCAAAAAUAAUUAAAGCCUCGCCUGUUUACCAAAAACAUCGCCUCUUGCUAUAAAACAUAAGAGGUCCCGCCUGCCCGGUGACAAAUAGUUCAACGGCCGCGGUAUUUUGACCGUGCAAAGGUAGCGCAAUCACUUGUCUUUUAAAUGAAGACCCGUAUGAAUGGCACCACGAGGGCUUAACUGUCUCCUCCUCCCAGUCAAUGAAAUUGAUCUCCCCGUGCAGAAGCGGGGAUAAGCACAUAAGACGAGAAGACCCUUUGGAGCUUUAGACAACAAGUAGACCAUGUCCCUGCCCCCAAAUAAAAGGAAUGAACUAAUUGGACCCUGCCCUCCUGUCUUUGGUUGGGGCGACCGCGGGGAAACAAAAAACCCCCAUGUGGAAUGGGAGACCCUCUCCUAUAACCAAGAGCCACAGCUCUAAGUUUCAGAACUUCUGACCAAAAAGAUCCGGCAAUGCCGAUCAACGAACCGAGUUACCCUAGGGAUAACAGCGCAAUCCCCUUUUAGAGCCCAUAUCGACAAGGGGGUUUACGACCUCGAUGUUGGAUCAGGACAUCCUAAUGGUGCAGCCGCUAUUAAGGGUUCGUUUGUUCAACGAUUAAAGUCCUACGUGAUCUGAGUUCAGACCGGAGUAAUCCAGGUCAGUUUCUAUCUAUGAAAUGUCCCCUUCUAGUACGAAAGGACCGAAGAGAAGAGGCCCCUACUAAAAGCACGCCUCCCCCUAACCUGAUGAAAUCAACUAAAACAGACAAAAGGGCAUAUUUACCCGUCUCAGAAAAUGACAU
RNAcentral lists this ribosomal RNA (1679 nucleotides) under Hemiramphus limbatus (Congaturi halfbeak). RNAcentral's name for it is "Hyporhamphus limbatus (Congaturi halfbeak) 16S ribosomal RNA". The stretch from base 101 to 1564 matches the Rfam family "Bacterial large subunit ribosomal RNA". The record is from RNAcentral. Lineage: Eukaryota; Metazoa; Chordata; Actinopteri; Beloniformes; Hemiramphidae.